RNAcentral lists this ribosomal RNA (253 nucleotides) under uncultured bacterium. RNAcentral describes it as "partial 16S ribosomal RNA". It matches the Rfam family "Bacterial small subunit ribosomal RNA", at positions 524 to 776 of the family's 1533-position model. The record is from RNAcentral.
UACGGAGGGGGCUAGCGUUGUUCGGAAUUACUGGGCGUAAAGCGCGCGUAGGCGGAUUGUUAAGUCGGGGGUGAAAUCCCGGGGCUCAACCCCGGAACUGCCUUCGAUACUGGCAAUCUGGAGGUCGAGAGAGGUGAGUGGAAUUCCGAGUGUAGAGGUGAAAUUCGUAGAUAUUCGGAGGAACACCAGUGGCGAAGGCGGCACACUGGGUCGAUUCUGACGCUGAGGUGCGAAAGCGUGGGGAGCAAACAGG